Molecule: ribosomal RNA, 482 nt
Filed under: uncultured bacterium
Lineage: Bacteria
Description: partial 16S ribosomal RNA
Rfam family: Bacterial small subunit ribosomal RNA
Source: RNAcentral
AUUGAACGCUGGCGGCAUGCUUUACACAUGCAAGUCGAACGGUAACAGCACUUCGGUGGCUGACGAGUGGCGAACGGGUGAGUAAUACAUCGGAACGUGCCUAGUAGUGGGGGAUAACUACUCGAAAGAGUAGCUAAUACCGCAUGAGAUCUAAGGAUGAAAGCAGGGGACCUUCGGGCCUUGCGCUACUAGAGCGGCUGAUGGCAGAUUAGGUAGUUGGUGGGAUAAAAGAUUACCAAGCCGACGAUCUGUAGCUGGUCUGAGAGGACGACCAGCCACACUGGGACUGAGAAACGGCCCAGACCCCUACCGGAGGCAGCAGUGGGGAAUUUUGGACAAUGGGCGCAAGCCUGAUCCAGCAAUGCCGCGUGCAGGAUGAAGGCCUUCGGGUUGUAAACUGCUUUUGUACGGAACGAAAAGCCCUCUUCUAAUACAGGAGGGUCAUGACGGUACCGUAAGAAUAAGCACCGGCUAACUACGUG